This 339-nucleotide long non-coding RNA is filed under the name Cyanistes caeruleus (blue tit). Its description in RNAcentral is "lncRNA (ENSCCEG00000022037.1)". The record is from RNAcentral. Lineage: Eukaryota; Metazoa; Chordata; Aves; Passeriformes; Paridae.
AUGAGCCAAAAGCAUCGUGUGAGUCAAGAGGCACUGAAGUGCUGCCAAGCAUCGAUUCCCACCAUGGCAGGAACGACUCCUGGGGUGGUGAAUUGCAAAGAAAUGGCUCUGUGGUGGCUGGCACCAGCUGCAGCAGGAAAGUCACGCCGAGACAGGAACAGGGCAGCAGGUAAGAUCUCUGCUCUGCUGUGGAAUGACAGGACACACCAAGUAGCAGUGCCUAGCUCUCAGAAGUGGCAACUUGGAUCCCUUUUCCUGGCUGAGCACCCAGCCUCACCUCCUGCCAGCUGCUGCAGAAGAAAUCCUCUGUGUGUUCUCCUGAAUUGUAAAGGCUGGUAA